AAUGAACGCUGGCGGCAUGCCUAACACAUGCAAGUCGAACGAGACCUUCGGGUCUAGUGGCGCACGGGUGCGUAACGCGUGGGAAUCUGCCCUCUGGUACGGAAUAACUCAGGGAAACUUGAGCUAAUACCGUAUAAUGACUUCGGUCCAAAGAUUUAUCGCCUGAGGAUGAGCCCGCGUAGGAUUAGCUAGUUGGUGAGGUAAAAGCUCACCAAGGCGACGACCUUAGCUGGUCUGAGAGGAUGAUCAGCCACACUGGGACUGAGACACGGCCCAGACUCCUACGGGAGGCAGCAGUGGGGAAUAUUGGACAAUGGGCGAAAGACCUGAUCCAGCAAUGCCGCGUGAGUGAUGAAGGACC
RNAcentral lists this ribosomal RNA (361 nucleotides) under uncultured bacterium. RNAcentral describes it as "bacterial SSU rRNA". It matches the Rfam family "Bacterial small subunit ribosomal RNA", at positions 29 to 417 of the family's 1533-position model. The record is from RNAcentral.